CCUACGGGUGGCAGCAGUCGAGAAUCAUUCACAAUGGGGGAAACCCUGAUGGUGCGACGCCGCGUGGGGGAAUGAAGGUCUUCGGAUUGUAAACCCCUGUCAUGUGGGAGCAAAUUAAAAAGAUAGUACCACAAGAGGAAGAGACGGCUAACUCUGUGCCAGCAGCCGCGGUAAUACAGAGGUCUCAAGCGUUGUUCGGAAUCACGGGGGGUAAAGCGUGCGUAGGCUGUUUCGUAAGUCGUGUGUGAAAGGCGCGGGCUCAACCCGCGGACGGCACAUGAUACUGCGAGACUAGAGUAAGGGAGAGGGAACCGGAAUGCUCGGUGUAGCAGUGAAAUGCGUAGAUAUCGAGAGGAACACUCGUGGCGAAGGCGGGUUCCUGGACAUUAACUGACGCUGAGGCACGAAGGCCAGGGGAGCGAAAGGGAUUAGAUACCCCAGUAGUC
Molecule: ribosomal RNA, 446 nt
Filed under: uncultured bacterium
Lineage: Bacteria
Description: partial 16S ribosomal RNA
Rfam family: Bacterial small subunit ribosomal RNA
Source: RNAcentral